CCCUUAGAUGUCCGGGGCCGCACGCGCGCUACACUGAAGGAAUCAGCGUGGCUUUCUCCCUGACCCGAAAGGGUUGGGAAACCCGUUGAAUCUCCUUCGUGAUAGGGAUUGGGGCUUGAAAUUGUUCCCCAUGAACGAGGAAUUCCCAGUAAGCGCGAGUCAUAAGCUCGCGUUGAUUACGUCCCUGCCCUUUGUACACACCGCCCGUCGCUAUUACCGAUUGAACGGUUUAGUGAGGGCCUCGGAUUGGUCUCGGCCCGCUCUUUACCGGGCGGCGCCGUUGGUCGAGAAGACGCUCGAACUUGAUCGUUUAGAGGAAGUAAAAGUCGUAACA
RNAcentral lists this ribosomal RNA (334 nucleotides) under uncultured eukaryote. RNAcentral describes it as "partial 18S ribosomal RNA". It matches the Rfam family "Eukaryotic small subunit ribosomal RNA", at positions 1470 to 1796 of the family's 1831-position model. The record is from RNAcentral.